RNAcentral lists this ribosomal RNA (454 nucleotides) under uncultured bacterium. RNAcentral describes it as "bacterial SSU rRNA". It matches the Rfam family "Bacterial small subunit ribosomal RNA", at positions 25 to 507 of the family's 1533-position model. The record is from RNAcentral.
CAGGAUGAACGCUGGCGGCGUGCCUAACACAUGCAAGUCGAGCGAUUCUCUUCGGAGAAGAGCGGCGGACGGGUGAGUAACGCGUGGUAACCUGCCCUGUACACACGGAUAACAUACCGAAAGGUAUGCUAAUACGAGAUAAUAUGCUUUUAUCGCAUGGUAGAAGUAUCAAAGCUUUUGCGGUACAGGAUGGACCCGCGUCUGAUUAGCUAGUUGGUAAGGUAACGGCUUACCAAGGCGACGAUCAGUAGCCGACCUGAGAGGGUGAUCGGCCACAUUGGAACUGAGACACGGUCCAAACUCCUACGGGAGGCAGCAGUGGGGAAUAUUGCACAAUGGGCGAAAGCCUGAUGCAGCAACGCCGCGUGAGCGAUGAAGGCCUUCGGGUCGUAAAGCUCUGUCCUCAAGGAAGAUAAUGACGGUACUUGAGGAGGAAGCCCCGGCUAACUACGUG